RNAcentral lists this long non-coding RNA (989 nucleotides) under Medicago truncatula (barrel medic). Its description in RNAcentral is "lncRNA gene49850". The record is from RNAcentral. Lineage: Eukaryota; Viridiplantae; Streptophyta; Magnoliopsida; Fabales; Fabaceae.
CGUCCUUUCAAAGUGUGAUUGAUCUCAACUGCUAAUUUGAGAUCAAACAAUUCAAUUUCAAAUUUGAAGCUCAGUUUUGUAGUAAUACGAUCUCAACUGUCCAUAUCAAACCGCUCAUAUUUGUUAGAGCUUCGUGUUGUAACAUCAGGAAAUCCAAUUCGGGAUGACACUGACCCCUGCUAAACCACUUUCAACCAUGGUAAUUAAGUUCCUCGAAAGGUUGUCACAGGUAUCCCAAUGACAGUGUGACAUGUGUCCAUGUUCGAUGACAUCAAUGUCGUUAUCUCCAAUCUGACGGAGAUGUUGAUUAUGGCAUGUCCCCUGGAACCGUCUUUACCUCGUAGCCGGUAACUCAGGUACCGAACUGAGCCAGGUGUAAGAAGGCCGAUAUCUGAAGCCGGAAUAAAACACCACCCAAGUUGAGCCUGCCCCAUGAUUCUUCUCUUGGUGAAAACCUGAAGGUAUAGACAGGAAGAUGGGUCUGAAAAGAAGGUAGGAUCGAGUGGUACAUGGAACAUGUUAAUAUUAUCACAUGCCUUAGGUGGUGUUGAGGUGGCUGGUGGGAAUUUGGUGAGUGUGAUGAAGGGUUUUAUGGUAGGGUUGAGAUAGGAGGUAUAGUUGUUUAGGCCUUCUGUUGAUAUAAGGGUUAGUUCUAAUAUUACGGUCAUGAUGAUAAGUCAUCAAGAAAUUGAGUAUUAAGUUAACAAUGGAGUAAUAAGAAUAGAGUUAAGGAUUUUUCAAAAUAUAAGAGGGUUGAUGACUGAGGAGGGUGGAAAGAUCAAGUUCAAUAGUCACUGUGCAGUUUCCACGCUGUUGGCAGGAAUUUAAAUCCAAUCAUCAGGCUUGUGGAAAUUUUAGUUUUCAGACUUCAAAUUCCAAAUGUCAACUAUAGUGCCUAGUGUAGUGUGACAUAUGAGUAUGAGAAAAAUUUAAAAUAGAUGAUACUAGUAUCAUUCCUAGAUCAGCACCCCACCACAAAAUAUCAAAAA